Molecule: non-coding RNA, 100 nt
Filed under: Sporosarcina sp.
Lineage: Bacteria; Bacillati; Bacillota; Bacilli; Caryophanales; Caryophanaceae
Description: Guanine sequence
Rfam family: Purine riboswitch aptamer
About the family: Riboswitches are metabolite binding domains within certain messenger RNAs that serve as precision sensors for their corresponding targets. Allosteric rearrangement of mRNA structure is mediated by ligand binding, and this results in modulation of gene expression.
Source: RNAcentral
AAUUUCAUUACGGAAUCAACAUGUAUAACCCCGAUAAUAUGGUUCGGGGGUCUCUACCAGGAACCGUUAAAUCCUGAUUACAAAGUCAUUUUUGUAAUCG